CCCUGAGGCGAGGAGAGUUGGCGUCCCACUGCUCCAAGGUGGGCGCUCCCGGAGGUCCGGUCCCGUUCGUAAGUGUCUUUGAGGCUGUUCGGAGAGGAAAGGGAACGGACCAGUGUCUCCUAGAGGUUAAAGACUCUUGCCCUUUGCCCCUCCGCCGAGCCGGCCAGUUUGCCUCAGUCACCUUGAGCGCCACAAAACUUUCAAAACUGGUUUGUGUGUUUUGAAGCAAUUGAAACAAUUGAGAGGGAUACGGCCUUGGCGUGUGUGUGUGUGUGUGUGUGUGUGUGUGUGGCGGUGGUGGUGUUAAGGCGCACAUUACCAAACCCUGUUACCGAAUGGACUUUAUCAGACAAGGGUUUCUACCUGGGCGCUAGGAAAGCUGGCUGCUGCUAGGUUUUCGUCCUGGGCACCUCAGUGGGAUCUUAAAUUUCAAAGCUGAGGUCGGAAGUCUCGACACCGAGAGAAGCCAGAGAUCCCGGUCCUACUCCCUGGAACUGAGUAGUGGGGCAAAAAGUUGUCUGCGUCCCUGUCUGUGCCCGGCGCCCGCAUCCGCAGGAGGUCGCUUCUUUCCGAUUUAGAAAGUGAUGAGGAUAAAAAGAGGCGCAGGGAAACGGAAAGGGAUCCAGGGGAUCCUGGAAGGAGAACUGGCUAAGGGAAGGGUGGAGGGGCAAGAACGACCUCGAGCACUGAGUGGGGAAAACGAAUUACCGACAGAAGUUGUUCGGAUGUCUCUGACGCCUGGCCUCCGUGCAGCGUAACGUAUACGUGGAUCAGAGUGAAAGAAAGUGUUGACCAUUUCCAGCGUGGAAAUUCACUUAAACCAGCUUCUGUUCCCCCCGCCCCGCGCCCCGCCAAGUGUUGACAAUAAACAUUUAAUGAAGGCAGAGACCUGGCUGUCUCCAGACAGGGUCAGAAUACUUUAAGCAGACCAUUAGCGCGGCUUCUUCCACUUCAAACAUCGCGCGGUACCCUCUAACAUUAUAUACAUACAUACAUACAUACAUAUGUGUGUAUAUCUAUCUCUCUAUAUAAAUGCACGGUGUGAAGCAAAUAAUACGUUCACACGGAUAUCUUCCGUGGUCUGCAGUAGUUCUGAUACCCCCUGUACUUACCAACAGAAACUAACUCAUUGUAGAUUACUCGCGCUUAAAAAAUGUUAAAUACAGUUAAUGCAAUAUUAAUCGCCCUUUGCUGAUAUAAAAUGCAAUAUUUUCGGGCAGCUAUUGAGCUUUUCUAGGGGAAGAGCUGAUGAAAAGAGUCACAGCUGAAUAGUGGAGAGAAAAAGCCCGGUAUUUAUUGCUUUUGUUUGGCUUUUGGCUACAGAGACAGGAACCUUCUAAUGGGAUGCACAUAAAAUCAGAGCCAGGAAAUCAUGAAGGAGAAAAGUUCAUGCUACUCAUCACAACCUUGCCAUUGGCCUCCAAGGAAGUGGAAUCAGAUUUUCCUCUCCUCAAAUCUGUGCUAGCUUGUGCGUUGCUUGAAACUGGUGGAAUGUGGUACAAGUGAAUACAAUGUGAUUUCUGAAAUGUGGUCAUAGAAGACAGCACAGCUCUCACCUGGUUGCCAAGACACUCACUUUCGGAACCCUGAGAGUCUGAUCACCCUGAGGCCUCCACACUGUGAGGAAGCCCAGGGCACAGGGAGAAGCCUGUGUGGGUGCACUCACCAGCAGUUCUAGUUGAGUUCCAAGAACUGAGCACCAAGAACGCGAAUGAAGAUGCUGCUGGUGACUUCAACCCUCGGCCGUGAGUAUUCUGUCUGGCAAUCCAGACACCACAUAGCAGAUACAAGCCAUUCCCUCAGAACUGCGUCUGAACUACUGAUCCACAGAAUCUGUUAUCCUUAUAAAAUUCUUGUGUUUCCUGCUGAGCUUUGGGUUAAUUUGUUAUACAAUGAUAGUAACCAAAACUGUCAGUAAAAUGUUCAAAUAUAAACAGCCAGGAAAUUUCAUCUCAGAAAUUGUAGUAGAUUUCAUUUGGGAUAAGAUGUUGGGCUAUUUAUUUAGAAAAAUCCAGUGAGAUUUAAUUAUUAAAGAGAGAUGGGGGGGAGUGGGUAAUCGUUUUAACAUCAAUAUUCUCGCUUUGAAAUUAAGUUACAACCUUAAAAAGUACAUAAUAAAGUCUGUAUUUUUAAAAGAUCAAAUGAGGGGUGGGCAUUGGCUCAGUGGUCAAGCUAAUACUUGGGAUACCUGCAUCUCACAUCAGUGCCCAGGUUUAGUUCUUGGCUCCAUUUCUGAUUCCAGCUUCCUAGUGACGUGAACCCUGGGAAGCAGUAGAUGAUAGCCCAAGUACUUGGGUCCCUUUCACCCACAUUAGAGUCCUGGAUUGCUUCUGGCUCCUGGCUCCUGGGUUCAGCCCAGUGGAGCCCCAGCUGUUGAAGGUAUUGGGGAGUGAACCAGUAGAUGGAAAUCUGUCUGGCUGUCCCUCUACUUCUUAAAUAAAUAAGAAAAUUUAAAAACUAAAAAUAUAUUAGUAAAUUGGUCAGACUGGAUGAUUCACUGCAAAAAUUCUCUUGAAAUAUGCAAUUUGGGCUUGAUCAAUGGGCAUUUUGUCAGUAUCUGUAGGUAACAGUAGAUAAGCUACUACUACUACCAUUCUAUUUCUGCUCUUCCUUUCUCUUUCACCUCAUUUUCCCUCCUAGUUAGUGCCCCUUUAGAGGGUCAGCUGGUGCAUGGGUGUGGUAUGGGGUAGUGUGUGAAAGAGUGCAAAGUGAAAGUGAUUUGUGUCAGCCUCUCAUCACACACACAUCUGACCAAGGGGAAGCCUAUUUAUAUAUGAAAUAAACUCAAACCUUCUAUUUAAUGGAAAAAUAAUUCUAAGAGGGUAGUUUUCAGUGGCAAACCUAAGUGUAAGACAAAGAAAUAAACCACAGCAAGAAAACAGUUCUCCGGGUCAUCAAAGAAGGAGGUACCUUUCUCUGAAGGGAGGAGAGAACUUCCACUUUGACCAUGGCCUUGUCUAAAUAUGAUCAGAGUCGGUGAACUCAGGGGGCUUCCAUAGCCUUGGCAGCUCAUGACAAGAGUCUAGGGUGAUUACUGAUGCCAUAGACAAGAGUGUCAAUUUGUUAAGUCAACAACAGGAGUCACUGUGCACUUACUUCUCAUGUAGGAGCUCUGUCCUUAGUGUGCUGUACAUUGAGAUUUAAUGCUAUAACUAGUACUCAAACAGUAUUUUUCACUUUAUGUUUCUGUGUGGGAGCAAACUGUUGAAAUCUUUACUUAAUGUAUGCUAAACUGAUCUUCUGUAUAUAAAGAGAAUUGAAAAUGAAUCUUGAUGUGAAUGGAAGGGGAGAGGGAGUGGGAAAGGGGAGGGUUGCGGGUGAGAGGGAUGUUAUGGUGGGGAAGCCAUUGUAAUCCAUAAGCUGUACUUU
Non-coding RNA from Oryctolagus cuniculus (rabbit), 3369 nucleotides. The record is from RefSeq and is a predicted model, not a curated record. NCBI's taxonomy places the organism in Eukaryota, Metazoa, Chordata, Mammalia, Lagomorpha, Leporidae.